UCAGAAUUAAAUUCACAUCAUGUAAAUGAACUCAAAUCCAAUUAAUAAGUUGGUUGAGUCAUUAAUGAAGUGGUUGAAUGGGUAGUAAAAAUAUGCAAGUGGAAUAAAAUCAGCAAACAAUCAAAACAGUCAUUAAUAAAAUUAGCAAACAAUCAGAACAAUCAUUAAUAAAGUUUGUGGACAAUUUAAUAAAUGAAGUAAUUAAUAAUGCAUUAUAUUGAAAACGUGCAAAAAAAAAAUUUAUAACUAGGACUAACACAAUUCAAGAUUCAAUGGGGCAUUAGGAUUAGAACAACAAGAUACAUAAGUAAAUUAACCAUGGCUGAAAAAUCAAAUACAUAAAACAACAGAGAAUGAAGGUAUGAAAAUGAAAAUUUGAAGGGAAAGACAGAAAAGAAGACACAACAUUAAAAACGAAACAAAUCACAUAAUAAAAAAUACACAUAACAGAGGAUCAAUGAUCAAAUACACAGUACAUGAAAUACAUAAAAUACACAGAACGUGUUUAGAAAAUGAAAUACACAUAACAUGUUUAGAAAAAUUAAUCAUGGCAUGAAAAUCAAAUACACAAAACAGAGGAUCGAGACAUGAAAUUGAAAAUUUCAGGAGAAACAAAAUAAAGACACAUCAUUGCCCGAUUUAGGGUUUAGAAAACGAACCUGAAGUGGACAAUGCUCUCCCCCAACAAACUACAAUUCCUUCAACCAUUGGGCCGAAUAUUUCAAAUUGGAGGAAAACAGCCCUCCAAAUUUCCAUUAGUGUUUGCAAACCAUUGAGUUGGAUAUUUCAAAUUGGUGAUAUAUAAAAACGGACCCCCAAAUAUUGAGAUGAUAUAAGAUCUCACUAAAUUUAAAAUUCAUAUUGCCCCAAACACAACCUUAAUUUUUUGGGAUGUUAGAGUAUUUUUGUUUGAUUGUAACUGAUUUCUGAAGGAACUCAACUAGUCGAUUAAGCCAUGGCUUCAACAACGUCAACUGUAGAAUCAAGUGAUCUUGAUGUUUCUCAAUUCAGUCAUACGCCUUUCGACUGGUGGUUGGGGUAAUUCAUUUGGUUAUUUCUCUUGAAAUUAUUCUUGCGACUAAUAAGCAUUGGAAUGGGGCUUUUGUAGCUGCUGCAGUUAAGUUUCCAAGUGCAUUGUUUGGGAUAUUUUGUAUUUUUUUCUAUCUUAUUGGUUCUUGAUUCUACUGUCCUUGCUCCUACUAUUGGCGGUAUGAACUUCUUUAAAACGACUCUCUUGUUUAUUCAGAGGUGGCUUCCUUUGUUUUAUGUUUCAUUCUUGGUUAUUUUGCCUUUGUCUGUGAAGGACAUCCUUGCGACAUCUGGGAUCAAAAAAAUUUUCAUAAUAGGUACAUAAUUUUGUCAUGAUAUAUUGCAUCUUAGGUGUGAGAAUUUGAUUAAACAAAUAUUAAACGUGUCUUACAUAUCCUGUGAGAGUGGUUUGGUUAUUUCUAUUUACUUCGUUUUAGGUUGUGUUGAAAUAUGUUAAAUUAGCCCUAAGGGCAUUUUUGUCUUUUUACUAUAUUUGCUAAAUUAGGGUUUCACAUUAUUCUAUUUAUAUCUAAGGUUGGGUCUAUUGUAAAGUAGAUAUAAAAAUAAAAAGUUCUUUUCUACCGUGGUUUUUCUUCCCUGAAUUAGGGUUUUCCACGUAAACUCCUUGUGUUGUCUUCUUUCCCUAUUUCAAUAGU
Molecule: long non-coding RNA, 1685 nt
Organism: Benincasa hispida (wax gourd)
Lineage: Eukaryota; Viridiplantae; Streptophyta; Magnoliopsida; Cucurbitales; Cucurbitaceae
Source: RefSeq, a predicted model, not a curated record